This 449-nucleotide ribosomal RNA is filed under the name uncultured bacterium. Its description in RNAcentral is "partial 16S ribosomal RNA". It matches the Rfam family "Bacterial small subunit ribosomal RNA", at positions 29 to 523 of the family's 1533-position model. The record is from RNAcentral.
AACGAACGCUGGCGGCAUGCCUAACACAUGCAAGUCGAACGAGAUCUUCGGGUCUAGUGGCGCACGGGUGCGUAACGCGUGGGAAUCUGCCCUUUGGUUCGGAAUAACAGUUGGAAACGACUGCUAAUACCGGAUGAUGACGAAAGUCCAAAGAUUUAUCGCCAGAGGAUGAGCCCGCGUAGGAUUAGCUAGUUGGUGUGGUAAAGGCGCACCAAGGCGACGAUCCUUAGCUGGUCUGAGAGGAUGAUCAGCCACACUGGGACUGAGACAUGGCCCAGACUCCUACGGGAGGCAGCAGUGGGGAAUAUUGGACAAUGGGCGAAAGCCUGAUCCAGCAAUGCCGCGUGAGUGAUGAAGGCCUUAGGGUUGUAAAGCUCUUUUGCCCGGGAUGAUAAUGACAGUACCGGGAGAAUAAGCUCCGGCUAACUCCGUGCCAGCAGCCGCAGUAA